This 359-nucleotide unclassified non-coding RNA is filed under the name Linnemannia exigua. Its description in RNAcentral is "sequence contains 5.8S rRNA gene". The stretch from base 1 to 53 matches the Rfam family "5.8S ribosomal RNA", at positions 102 to 154 of the family's 154-position model. Lineage: Eukaryota; Fungi; Mortierellomycota; Mortierellomycetes; Mortierellales; Mortierellaceae. The record is from RNAcentral.
GAACGCAUAUUGCGCUCUUUGGUAUUCCGAAGAGCAUGCUUGUUUGAGUAUCAGUAAACACCUCAAAACUCUUGAUCUUUUUCAAGCGUUUUGGACUUGAGCAAACCCAACGCCUUUUCUUUUAAGAUCUGUUGCGGCGGGUUGGUUGAAAUACAGGUGCCGCUUGACAAUCUCCUUGGCUAAAAGCAUAUUUAUUUAGUCCCGUCAAACGGAUUAUUACUUUUUGCUGCAGCUAACAUAAAGGGAGUUUUGACCAUUAUGGCUGACUGAUGCAGGAUUUCACAGAGAAAAGGCCGGCAACGGUUUUGUCUCUGUCAAACUCGAUCUCAAAUCAAGUAAGACUACCCGCUGAACUUAAG